RNAcentral lists this ribosomal RNA (603 nucleotides) under Colletotrichum gloeosporioides. Its description in RNAcentral is "eukaryotic LSU rRNA". The stretch from base 230 to 383 matches the Rfam family "5.8S ribosomal RNA". The record is from RNAcentral. Lineage: Eukaryota; Fungi; Ascomycota; Sordariomycetes; Glomerellales; Glomerellaceae.
UGAGGAAGUAAAAGUCGUAACAAGGUCUCCGUUGGUGAACCAGCGGAGGGAUCAUUACUGAGUUUACGCUCUAUAACCCUUUGUGAACAUACCUAUAACUGUUGCUUCGGCGGGUAGGGUCUCCGCGACCCUCCCGGCCUCCCGCCUCCGGGCGGGUCGGCGCCCGCCGGAGGAUAACCAAACUCUGAUUUAACGACGUUUCUUCUGAGUGGUACAAGCAAAUAAUCAAAACUUUUAACAACGGAUCUCUUGGUUCUGGCAUCGAUGAAGAACGCAGCGAAAUGCGAUAAGUAAUGUGAAUUGCAGAAUUCAGUGAAUCAUCGAAUCUUUGAACGCACAUUGCGCCCGCCAGCAUUCUGGCGGGCAUGCCUGUUCGAGCGUCAUUUCAACCCUCAAGCUCUGCUUGGUGUUGGGGCCCUACAGCUGAUGUAGGCCCUCAAAGGUAGUGGCGGACCCUCCCGGAGCCUCCUUUGCGUAGUAACUUUACGUCUCGCACUGGGAUCCGGAGGGACUCUUGCCGUAAAACCCCCCAAUUUUCCAAAGGUUGACCUCGGAUCAGGUAGGAAUACCCGCUGAACUUAAGCAUAUCAAUAAGCGGAGGAA